This 253-nucleotide ribosomal RNA is filed under the name uncultured bacterium. RNAcentral's name for it is "partial 16S ribosomal RNA". It matches the Rfam family "Bacterial small subunit ribosomal RNA", at positions 524 to 776 of the family's 1533-position model. The record is from RNAcentral.
UACGUAGGGCGCAAGCGUUGUCCGGAAUUAUUGGGCGUAAAGAGCUCGUAGGCGGCUUGUCACGUCGAUUGUGAAAACCCGAGGCUUAACCUCGGGUCUGCAGUCGAUACGGGCUAGCUAGAGUGUGGUAGGGGAGAUCGGAAUUCCUGGUGUAGCGGUGAAAUGCGCAGAUAUCAGGAGGAACACCGGUGGCGAAGGCGGAUCUCUGGGCCAUUACUGACGCUGAGGAGCGAAAGCGUGGGGAGCGAACAGG